RNAcentral lists this ribosomal RNA (253 nucleotides) under uncultured bacterium. RNAcentral's name for it is "partial 16S ribosomal RNA". It matches the Rfam family "Bacterial small subunit ribosomal RNA", at positions 524 to 776 of the family's 1533-position model. The record is from RNAcentral.
UACGGAGGGUGCGAGCGUUGUCCGGAAUCACUGGGCGUAAAGGGCGCGUAGGCGGCCUGGCAAGUCGAUGGUGAAAGCCCGUGGCUCAACUACGGGUCGGCCAUUGAUACUGCUAGGCUCGAGUCGACUAGAGGCAGAUGGAAUUCCGGGUGUAGCGGUGGAAUGCGUAGAGAUCGGGAAGAACAUCAGUGGCGAAGGCGGCCUGCUGGGCUGUUGCUGACGCUGAGGCGCGACAGCGUGGGGAGCAAACAGG